UACAGAGGCCUCGAGCGUUAGGCGGAAUCACUGGGCUUAAAGCGUGUGUAGGCGGAUUGCUAAGUACCUUGUGAAAUCCCACGGCUUAACCGUGGAACUGCUUGGUAUACUGGCUGUCUUGAGCCACUUAAGGGCGACCGGAACAAACGGUGGAGCGGUGAAAUGCGUAGAUAUCGUUUGGAACGCCAAAGGUGAAAACAGGUCGCUGGGAGUGUGCUGACGCUGAGACACGAAAGCCAGGGGAGCAAACGGG
This 253-nucleotide ribosomal RNA is filed under the name uncultured bacterium. Its description in RNAcentral is "partial 16S ribosomal RNA". It matches the Rfam family "Bacterial small subunit ribosomal RNA", at positions 524 to 776 of the family's 1533-position model. The record is from RNAcentral.